UUGCGGUACAGGAUGGACCCGCGUCUGAUUAGCUAGUUGGUAAGGUAACGGCUUACCAAGGCGACGAUCAGUAGCCGACCUGAGAGGGUGAUCGGCCACAUUGGAACUGAGACACGGUCCAAACUCCUACGGGAGGCAGCAGUGGGGAAUAUUGCACAAUGGGCGAAAGCCUGAUGCAGCAACGCCGCGUGAGCGAUGAAGGCCUUCGGGUCGUAAAGCUCUGUCCUCAAGGAAGAUAAUGACGGUACUUGAGGAGGAAGCCCCGGCUAACUACGUGCCAGCAGCCGCGGUAAUACGUAGGGGGCUAGCGUUAUCCGGAAUUACUGGGCGUAAAGGGUGCGUAGGUGGUUUCUUAAGUCAGAGGUGAAAGGCUACGGCUCAACCGUAGUAAGCCUUUGAAACUGGGAAACUUGAGUGCAGGAGAGGAGAGUG
RNAcentral lists this ribosomal RNA (432 nucleotides) under uncultured bacterium. RNAcentral describes it as "bacterial SSU rRNA". It matches the Rfam family "Bacterial small subunit ribosomal RNA", at positions 213 to 663 of the family's 1533-position model. The record is from RNAcentral.